AACGAACGCUGGCGGCAUGCCUAACACAUGCAAGUCGAACGAGACCUUCUGGUCUAGUGGCGCACUGGUGCGUGACGCGUGGGGACCUGCCCUUAGGUUCGGAAUAACUCCCCGAAAGGGGUGCCAAUACCGGAUAAUGUCUUAGGACCAAAGAUUGAUCGCCUUUGGAUGGGCCCGCGUUGGAUUAGCUAGUUGGUAGGGUAAAAGCCUACCAAGGCGACGAUCCAUAGCUGGUCUGAGAGGAUGAUCAGCCACACUGGGACUGAGACACGGCCCAGACUCCUACGGGAGGCAGCAGUGGGGAAUAUUGGACAAUGGGCGAAAGCCUGAUCCAGCAAUGCCGCGUGAGUGAUGAAGGCCUUAGGGUUGUAAAGCUCUUUUACCCGGGAUGAUAAUGACAGUACCGGGAGAAUAAGCUCCGGCUAACUCCGUG
Molecule: ribosomal RNA, 433 nt
Filed under: uncultured bacterium
Lineage: Bacteria
Description: partial 16S ribosomal RNA
Rfam family: Bacterial small subunit ribosomal RNA
Source: RNAcentral